GGGCGUUAAGUUGCAGGGUAUAGACCCGAAACCCGGUGAUCUAGCCAUGGGCAGGUUGAAGGUUGGGUAACACUAACUGGAGGACCGAACCGACUAAUGUUGAAAAAUUAGCGGAUGACCUGUGGCUGGGGGUGAAAGGCCAAUCAAACCGGGAGAUAGCUGGUUCUCCCCGAAAGCUAUUUAGGUAGCGCCUCGUGAAUUCAUCUCCGGGGGUAGAGCACUGUUUCGGCUAGGGGGCCAUCCCGGCUUACCAACCCGAUGCAAACUGCGAAUACCGGAGAAUGUUAUCACGGGAGACACACGGCGGGUGCUAACGUCCGUCGUGAAGAGGGAAACAACCCAGACCGCCAGCUAAGGUCCCAAAGUCAUGGUUAAGUGGGAAACGAUGUGGGAAGGCCCAGACAGCCAGGAUGUUGGCUUAGAAGCAGCCAUCAUUUAAAGAAAGCGUAAUAGCUCACUGGUCGAGUCGGCCUGCGCGGAAGAUGUAACGGGGCUAAACCAUGCACCGAAGCUGCGGCAGCGACGUUUAUGCGUUGUUGGGUAGGGGAGCGUUCUGUAAGCCUGCGAAGG
RNAcentral lists this ribosomal RNA (570 nucleotides) under Salmonella enterica subsp. enterica serovar Bovismorbificans. RNAcentral describes it as "partial 23S ribosomal RNA". It matches the Rfam family "Bacterial large subunit ribosomal RNA", at positions 690 to 1256 of the family's 2925-position model. Lineage: Bacteria; Pseudomonadati; Pseudomonadota; Gammaproteobacteria; Enterobacterales; Enterobacteriaceae. The record is from RNAcentral.